CCUACGGGAGGCAGCAGUAGGGAAUUUUCGUCAAUGGGCGCAAGCCUGAACGAGCGAUGCCGCGUGAGUGAAGAAGGCCUUCGGGUCGUAAAGCUCUGUUGCGGGGGAAAAAAGGCAGCAUCAGGAAAUGGGUGCUGACUGAUGGUGCCCCGCCAGAAAGUCACGGCUAACUACGUGCCAGCAGCCGCGGUAAUACGUAGGUGGCGAGCGUUAUCCGGAAUGGUUGGGCGUAGAGGGUGCGCAGGCGGUCCUGCAAGUCUGGAGUGAAACGCAUGAGCUCAACUCAUGCAUGGCUUUGGAAACUGGAGGACUGGAGAGCAGGAGAGGGCGGUGGAACUCCAUGUGUAGCGGUAAAAUGCGUAGAUAUAUGGAAGAACACCAGUGGCGAAGGCGGCCGCCUGGCCUGUUGCUGACGCUGAGGCACGAAAGCGUGGGGAGCAAAUAGGAUUAGAUACCCUUGUAGUC
RNAcentral lists this ribosomal RNA (465 nucleotides) under uncultured bacterium. Its description in RNAcentral is "partial 16S ribosomal RNA". It matches the Rfam family "Bacterial small subunit ribosomal RNA", at positions 338 to 795 of the family's 1533-position model. The record is from RNAcentral.